This 440-nucleotide ribosomal RNA is filed under the name uncultured bacterium. RNAcentral describes it as "partial 16S ribosomal RNA". It matches the Rfam family "Bacterial small subunit ribosomal RNA", at positions 338 to 795 of the family's 1533-position model. The record is from RNAcentral.
CCUACGGGUGGCAGCAGUGGGGAAUAUUGCACAAUGGGGGAAACCCUGAUGCAGCGACGCCGCGUGAGUGAAGAAGUAUUUCGGUAUGUAAAGCUCUAUCAGCAGGGAAGAAAAUGACGGUACCUGACUAAGAAGCCCCGGCUAACUACGUGCCAGCAGCCGCGGUAAUACGUAGGGGGCAAGCGUUAUCCGGAUUUACUGGGUGUAAAGGGAGCGUAGACGGCGGUGCAAGUCAGAAGUGAAAGCCCGGGGCUCAACCCCUGGACUGCUUUUGAAACUGUGUGGCUGGAGUGCAGGAGAGGUAAGUGGAAUUCCUAGGGUAGCGGUGAAAUGCGUAGAUAGUAGGAGGAACACCAGUGGCGAAGGCGGCUUACUGGACUGUAACUGACGUUGAGGCUCGAAAGCGUGGGGAGCAAACAGGAUUAGAUACCCUUGUAGUC